CUGUGAUUGAGGCCAGACACACCCCGUGCUACACCAGCCGAAAGCUGCAUGCUCCCUGAACCAGAACUGGGGGGCAAAAGGCCAUGUCGUAGGGGAUCUGCUGAGACAGCUAAUAUUUAUACCAGCUUUCUGGGCCCUUUGCACCACUGAAGUGACACAAAUGGCUCGGAUCAGGAAACAAAAGAAUUCAAACGUCUUUUCCAAGUCAGAGCUGAAGGAAUCCCUUUAAGUGACAUAAGUCCCUCAGUGGGGCUGUAUGCUCUGUUUCACCACUGAAUAAGCUGAAAUGAUUGGGUCUACUCUACUUCAUGAUUCCUAGAUAUCACUAGGGUGUGCUAUAGAUCAUGAAAUUUCAGUAAAGCACUUGUUAACAAGGCAAUCUAUCUGCUAUACUAAAUAUUUUAAAUUAAUUCCAAACAUGAAAGCAAUGCACACUGAUCCAAAUACACAUUUAAAACAACAUUUAAAGCACUUGAGAGAGGUAAUAUCAUAACACUUGUUUAACAGUUUAAAACUUUUUGCUACAUACGCUUGGAGAAACAUACAAUAGUGCAUGGCUACAAAGAGUUAGUGAGAGCUAGACAGAUAAUCAAUCAAUCUAAAAUGCCUUCAAAUCAAUAAAACCUAAAAGAAGAGAUCUAAAUAGUGACUGAAAGAUUGGAAUGGAACAUGUAUAUACAAGAAGCAUAACCAAUAAGGG
This is a long non-coding RNA of Mauremys mutica (yellowpond turtle), 700 nucleotides long. RefSeq lists it as uncharacterized. The record is from RefSeq and is a predicted model, not a curated record. The transcript is spliced from 3 exons. NCBI's taxonomy places the organism in Eukaryota, Metazoa, Chordata, Testudines, Geoemydidae.